Molecule: long non-coding RNA, 299 nt
Filed under: Bos taurus (domestic cattle)
Lineage: Eukaryota; Metazoa; Chordata; Mammalia; Artiodactyla; Bovidae
Description: long non-coding RNA NONBTAT013834
Source: RNAcentral
CUACAUUAAUGAAUGUAGAAUUGAUCCCAAAUUUUUUUAUGCAUUUCUGCAUUCUUUGAAAUGAUCUUUUUUCUUUUAUCUAUUGUUUUAUGAAUUUUCUCUUUUAUCUAUUGUUUUAUAACAGUCUCUACCCAAAUUUCUGCUGCCAGGCUUUAAGGCAUUUUCCUGAAAUCAGCAUAGCCAUAUUCAGUGGUUUAAAGUAAAUCACAGGCUAGCCUAGAUUCAGGUCCAAAGGGACAACAUAAGGACACGAUGGCAAGAGGUCAUCUUUAGAGACCAACUAUAGGAAUAUAUUCAGG